This 4033-nucleotide long non-coding RNA is filed under the name Actinidia chinensis (golden kiwifruit). Its description in RNAcentral is "long non-coding RNA (ACHI_LNC008223)". The record is from RNAcentral. Lineage: Eukaryota; Viridiplantae; Streptophyta; Magnoliopsida; Ericales; Actinidiaceae.
UGUAGGCAAAAGCGACUAAGUGCCGCACGGGUCGAGGCAUUCGAAUUCUAAGCCCGUGACACUUGUCUGUUAUUCAAACCGACAAUCCACAUUUUUUAAUAAUCUAAUCAAUGAUUGCGGUGCCUCUUGGAAGAAUUGGGAUUGGAUUCGAUUCAAGCACACAUUCAGAGAAGAAAACAAUGUAUGACUAAUAGCUAGUGGUUUGGAGGAAUUGAGAACAGAUUCGAUUCAAGUACACACACUUAGAGAAGGAAACAAGUGUUUGACUACUAGCUAAUGGGUUUUCGACUCAAUGUUACAUAGGAAAAUGCUGCAGAGGAAGAGGUAGAGAAUAGUAGCACAGUAAUGGGCAGUCUGAAGAGGAUUAAGAAAAGGCAAAGUUGGAUGAAGGAUUAUGUGAUAUAGAGACGAAGGGAAGCUAAAGGGAAGUAGUUAACAUGUUAAAUAGUUAGCUUAGCUUGUUAACAGUUAGCUUGUUAAAGAAUUAGUUAACAGUUAGUUUGUUAAAGAAUUAAUUAAUAGAUUAAAGGUUCUGUUACAGCAGUGGAGGAAAAAAUAGUUACUGGAGUUAGGAAGUUCUUGAUUCUGAUAGAAUAUAUAUAUACAUAUAUAUACAUAUAUAUAUACCAUUGUAACACUAAUGAGGAUAUGAAAAUUCAAAUUGAAACUUUUCUUUAAAGAGCAACUUCUUUAGCUCGAAUAGAGAUUUCUUUCAUUCUUCUACUCUGUCAAUUGCAUGGUCACUCGCCGAGAACUUUGUUCUUAACAUUGGUGCUUUCAUUCAUUCAUCUAGUCAUUUAUCCUAUAAUGUCUGAGGGUACUAGACUUUCAAAGAUCAAUGAGGCUAUCAAGAGUUUCACUGAGUUUAGAAAGGAGGCUAAAGUUUGAUUCGUGAACUUAACAAUACGAAUUCAAGAUUUAUGCAUGCUUUUGAUCAGAGGAUAACAGAGGUAUCCAAUCAUUCACAACAUACUUCUGAAGAAAAUUUCAUUAAUCUACCUACUUUCAUCAGCAACAACCAUAAUAAUCAUCAAUUUCAUUUCACAAAAAUUGAUGUUCCCCACAUUGAUGGCAUAGAUGCGUCCAUUUGGAUAUUCCAAAUGGAAUUUUUUUUUAAUUUUAUAAUACUCUUGAAGAUCAAAGAGUUUUGAUUUGGCUUAAUGGCAAGUUUGGUCCCCAACGUAUAGCCUGUGUCGUAUGUGGUCCCCAAUGGAUCAAUUAUAUUAAUUUAGUCCCUCCUGUUUCAAAUGUGUAUUUAAAUGGUCCCUACUUCAAAAAAAUAUCAUUUUGUGCAUAGAAUUUCAUGAAAUUUUAUGGAUUUCUACAUGAAAUUUUAUAGAUUUUUGAAUUUUUAUUUGAAAUCUUUUCAUUUUUAGUGAUUUUUUUGGGAAUAGGGACCAUUUAAAUAUACAUUGAAACAUGGGGGACUAAAUUAAUACAAUUGAUACAUUGGGGACCACAAUACGACACAGGCUAUACGUUGGGGACCAAACUUGCCAUUAAAAAUUUCUUCUUUUCAUUUGGAAGGGCAUGCUCUCAGUUGGUUUAAAUGGAUGCAUUCUAAUAGUUUCAUUGAAUCUUGGAAAGGGUUUUUAAAAGCCAUUAAUCUCAGGUUUGGUCCUUCUUUGUGUGAAGAUCACAUAGGAGCCUUAUCUAAAUUGCAACAGACAACCACAAUAACAAAUUAUCAAGCCCAAUUUAAAGAAUUGUCUACUAAGGUACAGGGUUUAUCUCAACAAUUUUUGUAGAGUUUUUCAUUUCAAGAUUGAAAUCUGAAAUUAAACGUGAGGUGUUGGUAGCACAAUCGCAAUCUCUAUUACAAGCUAUGGCUCUAUCCAGGUUACAAGAAGAUAAAUUCAAUGAUUUGAAAUAAUAUUUUAAAUCUUCUUAGCAAUGACUUUUAUCUGAUUUUACUCUAAAUAAAACUCAAUCACUUACACACCAUCUAUAUCAUCCAAACCAACAGUUCAGAAUAGUUCACAACAAUCAAUUAAUCAGUCUUUACACAUUAGACGAUUGUCUCAUGCGGACCUUAAAGUUAGAAGGGAGAAGGGUUUGUUUUACAAUUGUGAUGAUAUAAUAUGCACCUGGUCAUAAAUGUAAAUCCAAUUUUUUUUUACUUGUUGGGGAUGAAGAUGAACAAGAUGUUGUAGUGUUGGAGGAGAUAAAUAUAGCAGAAGAUUCUGCUAUUUUUAGUAUUCCUGAAGUAAGUAUGCAUGCCUUGUCUGGUCAUAUUAGUCCAAGAACUAUAAAGGUGAAGGGUACAAUCAGCAGUUAUUAUGUCAAUGUUCUUAUUAAUAGUGGUAGUGCACAUAAUUUCUUUCAAGAAAGGGUUGCUAAUCAAUUAGGAUUAUCUGUUACCUCUUCCAAUCCAUUUAGAGUUUACAUUGGUAAUGGAGAUUUUUUGAAUUAUGACAAUAAAUGUGCAGAGGUGAAACUAUGUUUACCGGAUCAUAAAUUUUGUAUGGAUUUCUUUAUUUACCAAUUCAAGGAGUUGAUGUGGUAUUAGGGAUUUAGUAGCUGGAACUUUUGGGAUCUGUGAUUACUAAUUACAAAACUAUUGACAAUGAAUUUUAAAUGGAAUGUUAAGGAAGUGUAUUUAAUGGGGGAAUCACAAGUCAAUGAUGAAUUUCUACUUAGCAAGCAACUCAUGAAGUUGACAAAAACUCAGAAUAUUGCAUCCUUAUUCCAUUUGAAAGCUGUUGAGCACAAAGAUUCAGACAUUGAUAUUCUAGCCUGUGUCCAGCUUUUGUUAUAGCAGUAUUUUUGUAUUUUUACAUAACCUUUCACAUUACCUCCUUUUAGAGAUACUGACCAUCAAAUUCAUUUAAAACUAGAUGCUGCUCCUGUUAAUGUAAGUCUAUAUAGAUAUUCACAUUUUCAGAAGUUAGAAAUGGAGAAACUAGUAUAAGAGAUGUUGCAUUAGGGAAUUAUCAGACCUAGCCAAAGUCCUUUUUCUUCACCUAUGCUUUUGGUUAAGAAGAAAGAUGGUUCUUGGUGAUUUUGCAUUGAUUACUUAGCUCUUAAUGCCAUACUUGUUAAAGAUAAAUUUCUUAUUCCAACUAUAAAUGAACUAUUGGAUGAAUUGAAAGGCAUUGUGGUGUUCUCUAAAUUGGAUUUAAGAGUUGGUUAUCAUUAGAUUCGAGUGAAUGCUAGAGAUAUACAUAUUACUGCAUUUCGAACACAUCAAGUUCAUUAUGAAUUUUUAGUUAUGCCUUUUGAAUUAACCAAUGCACCUUCAACUUUUCAGGCUACAAUAAAUCAAGUUUUUUUCACCUUAUUUGAGGAAGUUUGUUAUAAUUUUUUAUGAUAUUUUUGUUUAUAGUUCAUCUAUGACUGGGCAUUUAGAUCAUUUGAAAAUUGUGUUGCAGUGCUUAACUAAUACUCAGUUGUUUUCUAAAAUGAGUAAAUACCAGUUUUGUCAAGCUAUAAUUGAAUAUUUAGGCCACAUAGCGUCUGCUAAAGAAGUAGAACUAGAUCCCAAGAAGAUUCAGGGAAUGACAGAGUGAAUUGUUCCUAAAAAUCUGAAAUAACUAAUAGGUUUUAUAGGAUUAAAUGGUUAUUACAGAAGGUUUAUUCAAGGAUAUGCAACCAUUGCCACAUCUUUGACAAAUCUUCUAAAGAAAGAUGCUUUGAUGGGGGAAGAAAUGUUAUAGAGCAAUCUGCUGUAGAGGAAAAUGCUGCAGCUACUAUAGAGAAAAAUGUUGCAGAGGAAGAGGUAGAGAAUAAUAGCACAGGAAUGGGCAAUAUGAAGAGGAUUAAGAAAAGGACAAGUCAGAUGAAGGAUUAUGUGAUAUAGAGAUGAAGCGAAGCUGAAGGGAAGCAGUUAGCUUGUUAAACAGUUAGCUUAGCUUGUUAACAAUUAGCUUGUUAAAGAAUUAGUUAACAGUUAGUUUGUUAAAGAAUUAGUUAACAGAUUAAAGAUUCUGCUACAGAAUUGGAGGGAAAAGUAUUUACAAGAGUUAGGAAGUUCUUGAUUCUGAUAAAAUGUAUAUAAAUACACCAUUGUAACACUAAUGAGGAUAUGAAAAUU